CAGCCGCCGCGGGAAUACGAAGGGGGCUAGCGUUGUUCGGAUUUACUGGGCGUAAAGGGUGCGUAGGCGGACUGAUAAGUCAGGGGCGAAAUCCCAAGGCUCAACCUUGGAACUGCCUUUGAUACUGUUAGUCUUGAGUUCGAGAGAGGUGAGUGGAACUGCGAGUGUAGAGGUGAAAUUCGUAGAUAUUCGCAAGAACACCAGUGGCGAAGGCGGCGACCUGGUCCAUAACUGACGCUGAGGCGCGAAAGCGUGGGGAGCAAACAGGAUUAGAUACCCCGGUAGUCCCUGUCUCUUAUAC
RNAcentral lists this ribosomal RNA (301 nucleotides) under uncultured bacterium. Its description in RNAcentral is "partial 16S ribosomal RNA". It matches the Rfam family "Bacterial small subunit ribosomal RNA", at positions 509 to 807 of the family's 1533-position model. The record is from RNAcentral.